AUUGAACGCUGGCGGCAGGCCUAACACAUGCAAGUCGAACGAGCGGCGGACGGGUGAGUAAUGUCUGGGAAACUGCCUGAUGGAGGGGGAUAACUACUGGAAACGGUAGCUAAUACCGCAUACCAUCGGAUGUGCCCAUAUGGGAUUAGCUAGUAGGUGGGGUAAAGGCUCACCUAGGCGACGAUCCCUAGCUGGUCUGAGAGGGUGACCAGCCACACUGGGACGGAGACACGGUCCAGACUCCUACGGGAGGCAGCAGUGGGGAAUAUUGCACAAUGGGGGCAAGCCUGAUACAGCCAUGCCGCGUGUAUGAAGAAGGCCUUAGGGUUGUAAAGUACUUUCAGCGGGGAGGCGUUACCCGCAGAAGAAGCACCGGCUAACUCCGUGCCAGCAGCCGCGGUAAUUC
Molecule: ribosomal RNA, 406 nt
Filed under: uncultured bacterium
Lineage: Bacteria
Description: partial 16S ribosomal RNA
Rfam family: Bacterial small subunit ribosomal RNA
Source: RNAcentral